RNAcentral lists this ribosomal RNA (435 nucleotides) under uncultured bacterium. RNAcentral describes it as "partial 16S ribosomal RNA". It matches the Rfam family "Bacterial small subunit ribosomal RNA", at positions 29 to 507 of the family's 1533-position model. The record is from RNAcentral.
AACGAACGCUGGCGGCAUGCCUAACACAUGCAAGUCGAACGAUUGCCUUCGGGUGAUAGUGGCGCACGGGUGCGUAACGCGUGGGAAUCUGCCCUUAGGUUCGGAAUAACAGCUGGAAACGGCUGCUAAUACCGGAUGAUAUCGCGAGAUCAAAGAUUUAUCGCCUGAGGAUGAGCCCGCGUUGGAUUAGGUAGUUGGUGGGGUAAAGGCCUACCAAGCCGACGAUCCAUAGCUGGUCUGAGAGGAUGAUCAGCCACACUGGGACUGAGACACGGCCCAGACUCCUACGGGAGGAAGCAGUGGGGAAUAUUGGACAAUGGGCGCAAGCCUGAUCCAGCAAUGCCGCGUGAGUGAUGAAGGCCCUAGGGUUGUAAAGCUCUUUUACCCGGGAAGAUAAUGACUGUACCGGGAGAAUAAGCCCCGGCUAACUCCGUG